Molecule: ribosomal RNA, 573 nt
Filed under: Rhodotorula glutinis
Lineage: Eukaryota; Fungi; Basidiomycota; Microbotryomycetes; Sporidiobolales; Sporidiobolaceae
Description: eukaryotic LSU rRNA
Rfam family: Eukaryotic large subunit ribosomal RNA
Source: RNAcentral
AAGCGGAGGAAAAGAAACUAACAAGGAUUCCCCUAGUAGCGGCGAGCGAAGCGGGAAGAGCUCAAAUUUAUAAUCUGGCACCUUCGGUGUCCGAGUUGUAAUCUCUAGAAGUGUUUUCCGCGUUGGACCGCACACAAGUCUGUUGGAAUACAGCGGCAUAGUGGUGAAACCCCCGUAUAUGGUGCGGACGCCCAGCGCUUUGUGAUACACUUUCAAUGAGUCGAGUUGUUUGGGAAUGCAGCUCAAAUUGGGUGGUAAAUUCCAUCUAAAGCUAAAUAUUGGCGAGAGACCGAUAGCGAACAAGUACCGUGAGGGAAAGAUGAAAAGCACUUUGGAAAGAGAGUUAACAGUACGUGAAAUUGUUGGAAGGGAAACGCUUGAAGUCAGACUUGCUUGCCGGAGCUUGCUUCGGUUUGCAGGCCAGCAUCAGUUUUCCGGGGUGGAUAAUAACGGUUUGAAGGUAGCAGUCUCGGCUGUGUUAUAGCUUUCCGUUGGAUACAUCCUGGGGGACUGAGGAACGCAGCGUGCUUUUUGCGAAAGACUCGUCUUUUUCACGCUUAGGAUGCGGGAAGG